This 454-nucleotide ribosomal RNA is filed under the name uncultured Parabacteroides sp. RNAcentral's name for it is "partial 16S ribosomal RNA". It matches the Rfam family "Bacterial small subunit ribosomal RNA", at positions 341 to 792 of the family's 1533-position model. Lineage: Bacteria; Pseudomonadati; Bacteroidota; Bacteroidia; Bacteroidales; Tannerellaceae. The record is from RNAcentral.
ACGGGAGGCAGCAGUGAGGAAUAUUGGUCAAUGGAGGCAACUCUGAACCAGCCAUCUCGCGUGAAGGAAUACGGCCCUACGGGUCUUAAACUUCUUUUAUAGGGGGAUAAAGUGAGGCAUGCAUGCCUUUUUGUAGGUACCCUAUGAAUAAGCAUCGGCUAACUCCGUGCCAGCAGCCGCGGUAAUACGGAGGAUGCGAGCGUUAUCCGGAUUUAUUGGGUUUAAAGGGUGCGCAGGCGGGACAUUAAGUCGGCGGUGAAAUACCGUGGCCCAACCACGGGGCUGCCGUCGAUACUGAUGACCUAGAGUGCGUGUGACGUAGGCGGAAUGUGACGUGUAGCGGUGAAAUGCUUAGAUAUGUCACAGAACACCGAUUGCGAAGGCAGCCUACGAAUGCGUAACUGACGCUCAUGCACGAAAGCGCGGGUAGCGAACAGGAUUAGAUACCCUGGUA